Molecule: long non-coding RNA, 4997 nt
Organism: Chroicocephalus ridibundus (black-headed gull)
Lineage: Eukaryota; Metazoa; Chordata; Aves; Charadriiformes; Laridae
Exons: 5
Source: RefSeq, a predicted model, not a curated record
AGGGCGGGGCGGGGGGAGGGCGGCGGCGUCGCUCAGGGCUGUGCAAUCGGGCCCGGAGCCAUCGAGCGCCCGCCGCGGGCCUGGGAGGCCCCCGGGGAGCGCGGAGCCCCGGAGGGGCGGGAGCAGCAAGGCCGCGUGCGACAUUGGUUCAACCUCAGAGUUGGAAACUAAGAUUCCUCUCCACAGACUGGGUUCUCUGGGGCCAUCUUCUUUGAAGUGGUGCAAACUAUUGUGGGGAGGGAAUAAUGCCUGGGAUGCAUACGCGUAGGAGCCGAAAUCAUGUCUAGCCCUUAACGUAAGCUUGUAAUUCAUCUUCAGAUAGAUUCAACGUGUAAAGUUUAUGUGCAUACGUGAACAUCUGUAUUCAGUCAUGUAGAUGAUACCACUGAGGAGUAAUUCAAAGAGUGCACACAGAACUGCCUGAUAAGGUUUUGCUAUAGAUGCCAAGAGGCAGAGCACCAGGCUGCAUUACCGUAUAUGGACACUGGUUUCAUUUUUACUAAAUUGCCUGUGAUAAAGAAACAGGAGCAUUGAUGCAAGGACCUUUUACAAAAAAAGUUCUGCCAAUGGAUGUGGUAAUGAAGAAUACAUAAAUGCCUCAUACCUGAAGCAGAAAACUAUUUCCGUAAUGUAUUUCGCAGAUAACAACUCUGCAAACUCCUGCUGGUGUAAAGGUGUUAACCCCUGGUAUUGAAAAUAACGUACACCCCCAGGAAAGAGUUAUUUGCUCAGUUAACCUCAUUUUCAUCAGAAGAUGAGUUGCUGCUGCUCAGCAUAAAGCGGUUUGGCAUUCAACUUGUGAGAAAGGUCAACUGAACAAUUUAUAUUCAGAGACUGUUGGUGCUGUGGCGUUUUCCAUAAUGAACUCCAGAAAAACAAAGGCUGCUCUCUAUCUGACAGCCCUGAGGUAACGGAAGGACCUGGUAAUAUUUCUGAAGGACUGAUCGUGUUUAGCUCAGAAAAAAAUAAACCCAAAUCUAGAAUAAUUUUUGGAUUAUUGCUGUUAUGAUCGUUAUUACGCCUGUUACUCACUCCGUUGUGGUAACAGGCAGAUACCCACUCAAGAUUAGUAUCUCCUGAUGCUGAAUGUUAUGUGAGCACAGGGCAAGACGAAACACCAUCAGUAAGAAACACAGUCUUGCUCAGUUCUUCCCAAGAAUGAUCUCUCCCAACCCUCUCUCCAACGAUACCAGCUCUAAGUAAUGCCGUGUUAAUGCCCAACUCGUACGAAUCACUUGGAACAACGAGAGAUACUGGUGGAGGAUGCUCCUUCCAUCUCCGGGUACAUUGGCUGUAGGGUUGCUCUGUGCCAGCAGGGCCUCCAUGAGGCUUUAUAAUCCUCAGUGACUCUAGAGGAAGAGAAAAGAAUGUAUUCCUUCGAACUCAGUGGGUCUGUCUACGCAUGAGUAAGAAUCGCAGGACUAGGGGCCUGAUUUAAAGCAGAUGGAACAUCCCCAAAACUGCAGCAGCCCUUAGCAUCCAUGGCUGUCCAUCGGUGCUCCCUCAGUUGAGACAGUAACUAUGCAAGUGCUUCUAAUCCCAAAAGUGAAACAUUCGGAUCCCUGGAGUAGCUGCCUUCCCGAGGCUAGUUUUGCGCAGCUCUGGGUCUGCGUUUCUUUACCUGACCAUCAGCAAGUUGUUUACAGCCUUGGGGUCUUCAGUGCUGGCCUGUGCCCCAUCUCUUCUCGUCCAUCGCCUCUACGCUGCAGCUGGUGUCUUCUCAAGGUUGCUGCUCUUCUAACAGGCUGUGGCGGUGUGCUCUCCCCUUUCCCCCCCCCCGGCUCCUGCUCAAGCCAUGGCCAUCAGCGGGAGUUGUUAUGAGUUGCACUUGAACUGUGGGAGAUGGCUGGCAACAUAACCAAAACACUGUCUGGAGUGGGAACCUAGGUAUCUUGUUCCCAUGAGAAUAUGACUAUAGGUCAAUUCCCUUACUCCAUAAAUAGUGGACAGCCCAAGAGCCCUUUGAGCUCUCCUGCACGGCAGCGGGCUGCACGACAGGAUCUCCCCUUGAGUGGGGACACUCGCUUAAGGUUCUUCUCCUCGAGGUUGAGAGAUUCCUUGCUGCAACAGAUUCUCGGUAAGUGACUAAUAGCAUGCUAAACUUUGAAAUCUUAGCUGAGUGAUAUAAGGAUUGAUUGCACAUAUAUAAUCCUUUAGACAUAAACCGUUGACCAAGUCUGGGACUAGGAUUGGAUCCAGCCGCACCUAGACUCCUCCCUGAGAAGGAGUUUGGAAAGCAAGGGGGUCCUUUCUGAACCUCAUGACUCAACGGGAGGGUCUCCCUGACAGCUUGUCUGACCCUGGCCUCUAUGCAGUAAAUAAUCAAGUGUACCCUGGCAUCGAAUCUCGUAAAACACUGUCGCAUUCACUACUAACUUUGUUAAAUCACUGUUUUAUGUUAAUAAACAUUUCACUACUCUCUUACAAGUGAAGUUAUUCACUCCGCCCGCGACACUGGCCUUUAUUUCUGUACUCUGUAGCAUUAUGUUAGAGUCAUAAAUCUAUCAUUCUACACAGAAUAACUACUUAUUUUUAACAUCUAUAUAAAAACUGUGGUUGCACCAUACAAAACAAAAAUAAAAGAAAUUAGCCAGAGUCUCCUGUCAUUAGAAAAAUUGUUGUUACAGCUAAAUCAAGUAAAAACAAAGCUCCAAGAAGAUGAGGGGAAGUUCAGACAAAGCACAUAUGAUAAGCCUCUGUCCUGAGGUCCUGUUAGCUCAGGACAAAGCCCGUGGACUGUUACUAGCCAUAGCUAUACAGCUGCAGCAUUGUCACUAGUAUUACUGGGCUACGUGCUGUUCAUUACCUUCCAAUUCUGGAUUAACACCGGUAUGUUGCAUACUGUAUGUAGCAGCAGAGGUAAAUACGUCCCCAAAGGGCAUGGGAAAGAAGCAGGAACACUGUUGACUGGAAAAUAAGCAAUUGCACCUCAACUCAUUAGUUUUAUGAGCACAGUUCAUAGUCCACGCGCGCUUGGCUUCCACACAACUGGGUGUGCACCCUGCAAACAAGGUCACAAAAACCCAAUAUAACAAUUACUGUGCGACAGCUGAAUUGGAGGCCACACUAGAAUAGCAUAACGAUGACUCCUGAUUUUAUAGUUUAUUUCAAGGAAGCAGGGAAUAUUAAGUACCUUCCAAUAGAUAUUCUCUAAGUAUAGCACAGAAUAAUUAUUUGAGCUUUUGUCUAGUCAUAGAAUAGAAACUAUUUAAAGCAGUGUCAGGUCAUCUGUUUUAAGCGUAUAUUCAUGGCAGAAAAAAAUAUUUUUAAUCAAUUUUUUCAUCAGUAUAGUCCAUCAUGUUAUUCAGAAAUGGCUUUUUUCAGUAAAUGGAUUGUGGAUCAAUAGUAGAUAUAAAUAAAGCAGUAGAAAGGGCACAGCAUUCAACAAGCUGCCAGUCAUUGGUGCAGAAGACAGCAGAAAUCAGCAUCCCAAGAUGGAUACGGAAAUAAAUCACAAAUGGGCAGAUAAUACACAAGGAUGCCACCUUUUUACAGAAACUCCAGAGUUCUGUCUUGUCCCAAGAACCACUGAAAUAUAUAAAUUUCAACACUUAUAAAUACUUAAAGGGUGGGUGUCAGGAGGAUGGGGCCGGGCUCUUUUCAGUGGUGCCCGGGGACAGGACAAGAGGUAAUGGGCACAAACUUGAACAUAGGAAGUUCCAUCUAAACAUGAGGAGGAACUUCUUUCCUUUGAGGGUGGCAGAGCACUGGAACAGGCUGCCCAGAGAGGUGGUGGAGUCUCCAACUCUGGAGACAUUCAAAACCCGCCUGGACGUGUUCCUGUGUAACCUGCUCUAGGUGACCCUGCUCUGGCAGGGGGUUGGACUGGAUGAUCUCCAGAGGUCCCUUCCAACCCUAUGAUUCUAUGAUUCUAUGAUUCUAUGAUAUGUAAGUUUUUAUGUAUUCACUAAACACUUUGAGGCUCACCCCUCUUAGAAUUUGCAGAGCUCUUGAAAUACAGAGGCUGAAUUGUCAAGCUGCCAAAGAUCUUUCUGGAGCCAGGAAAAAAGAAAAAAUUAAAACCUGCAGACUUUGUAUUAUACCCCACAGGAUCAAUUCUUGAGGUAUACUGAAUACCUGCAAUUCCUGUAAGGUCAGUGAAAAGUGGUAUUACUCAGCACUUUUUUAGUGUUUGGCCUCCAACAGAAGGAGGAAUAAAAAAAGUUUUUUAAGCACACAGGUCAUAAUGAAUUUGUAUUAGUUAUUCACAUCAGGACAAUCUUACUUAAUUGUCGCUAGUAAGAACUUAGAAUAUGACUCAUAUUGCGUCUAUCAUAACUGUUAAUUAUUAAUGAAUAAAUGUCAUUUGGGACCUAGCUAAUAUUUCCACGCCACUUGUGUGAAUAGUUGUUUUCAACCGUGAGAGUGCCGAUUGCCAGGAAUUCAACAUCCUUAGGUAUUUCUUAAUUAUUUACCAUACAUUAUGUUAAUCUGAAAAAUCUCAUUACACUCUUGUCAAAACUAUGAGCUUUGUAUCUGUUAAAAAAAUGUGAUUCUUGUGGCAUAGUUUGAGCCUGCAGAUUACACAUUCUGUUAGGUGUUUUUUUUAAAUAAAGGUAAGGACAGAAUAUUUGUAACUACUGACUCACAAUUUAAGAUUGCACAAACUGGCACUCUCACUAACCACUAGGUUUUCCUCUUUUCCAGAAGAAAAGGUUUUCCUCUUUUCCUCUUUCCUCCAUCUUUUCCAGAAAAAAAUAUUAUUUAAGUGGGAAUUCUGAAUAAUUACUGCAAAUUGUCUAAUUUCACUUUGAACCCUUCUAAAUUACUGACUUCAAAACCCAUGAUGCUGCAGCAGAAGAGAAACUUGACUCGCGAGAUGAAUACACUUGAAUCAUUUUGUAAUUUGCCACAUUUUAAUAUAGCUGUUCUGUUCUUACUGCCUUACAAGGCAGAAUUUCCCAUUAUAGCUUCUUAACGCCAUCUGUUAAUCAUGUUUAUCACAGCACUGCAUAGGAGGUCAGCUGGGAAGGGGGCCCCAAAUGUGCCAUCACUCU